CCAGCCUGGGCGACAGAGCAAGACUCCGUCUCAAAAAAACAAAACAAAAAAAAGAAAACAGUUUGAAAAUUUCCCUGUAAAGUAAAACUUACAUUUACCAUGUAUGUUGCAGCAAUCUCCCUCUUAGGUGUUUACCCAGUGGAAAUGAAAGCUUAUGGGUCACACAAAAACUUAUUACAUGAAUACUUAGAGCAACUUUUAUUUAUAAUUGCCAAGAAUGAAAACCUAAUGUCCUUCAGCUGAUGGAUGUACCAACCAACUGGGGUACAUCCAUCCAAUGGAAUAUUAUUCAGCAAAGAAACCCCAAAUUAUUGAUACUCUCAACAGAAUGCAAGAAUCUUAAAAUAAUUAUGCUGAAUGAAAGAAGUCCAACUCAAAAGACUACAAACUAUACAAUUCCAUUUAUAUGACCUUCUGGAAAAGGGAAAGCCUUAGGGAUGGAGAUGUCCUGGGUUAGAGAUGGGAGAGAGCUGGAUUUCAAAGGAUGGUGAGAAAGACUUUUGAGGUGGGUGGAACUUUUCUGUCUUGAUUGUGGUGCUGGUUCCAUGAUCCUGUGCAUUUGUCAAAACUCAUAGAACUGUAGACGAGAGAGAGAGACAGAGAAAGGAAUUGCAUUGUACGUAAAUUUUAAAAAUAACUAUAAAAUGUGAGGGUUGGUUUCUGAACAGAGACCUAAUAAGUUAUCUGAGUAAUAUUAGUAUUAACCUUUAUUGAGCAUUUACUUUGUGCCAGGUGUUAUCUUGUGAAGUCCUCAAAACUAGCCACUGGGGUAGAUAUUAUGAGGUAGAGCUCCAGAGAGAACUGGAGGCUCAGAGAGGCUACAGUCAGCAGAGUCCAACUCAACCCCAGGUGGGUGAGGCUGCGAGGCCUGUGCAAGGUUCCCCGGGGCUGCAGCCUGCCCUCCCCUCCCCUUUUCUUUCCCUCCUGAAUCCUCCCCUUCCUGCCAGCACCUCCCUAUCCCGGCCCCUCCCAUCCUUCCCAGAAAAGCCUUCUCCACUCAUGUCACUUCUUUGAUGUAAAUUCCAGUGAGUAAGGAGGACGAUUUGGUCAAAGGUAUGAAAAUAUUUCUGACUUUUGAUCAAAUUUCUGUUCCUAUCCUUAAAUCAAUUUACAACCAGAUGGUGUCAUACCAAAGCACCUUGGGUACUUGGAGGAAAAUGUUCCUUUGUCCAGAGUCUCCUGCAGUGAUGUGGCUGCCCCUUCUUCCUCCACACCCUGUACUCUUUCCCAUUUCCAGUCCCUCUGCUGCCCUCAUACCUGGAGGCCACUCUUCUUUCCCAUUUCCAGCCCCUCUGCUGCCCUCAUACCUGGAGGCCAUUCCUCUCUGUGUCUGGAGGCUGUUCUGACCUAAGCUCCUUUAUCAGCAAAGUGGGUCCACUGUUCCUUUCCCUCCUCCCUCACCGUCUCCAUCUCAAUUCUUAGCCUUUUCCAAUUUUUCCAAUUCUUAGCCAAUUCUAGCCAUCUCCUGGCUGCCCAAUUCUUAGCCUUUCCUUCACCCUCACCCUUCUUGUCAGGCCACUGUUUCCCAAGGAUAUUUCUUGCAUGAGGCUGAUGCUGAGUCCUUUGAGAGGAAGAGACCUACAGCUGGGAGAGGGGGCUCCUACAAGGAGGAGGCAGCAGGUUGCAUAGCCCAGGCUCAGGUGCCCGCUGGGGAUGACCCAGGAAAACACCCACCAAGCCAGCAUGUUAGGGGGCACCCUCACCUAGGAAAGUGAGGUACAAGACAGGGAGUGUGUACUCUGCAUAAAUAAAAAUGCCCUAGGAUGAGGAUGUGGAAGGAGAACUAGAGGAUUAUUCCUGUUUUGUUCUCUGUACUUGGAGAAACCCUCUGUGCUUCUCAUAUCACGGGGCCUGUGGGGCUGAAAACAGGGUGGCUUGAAGACAUCCUCUCCUACUCUCCCCUCCCCUUUCUUCAGCUCCCCUCCCCUCUCCUCGGUGCUGUGGGUGCCUCUGCUCAUGGAGGGAACCAUGUGGCUGAGGCUGUUGUGAUUCUUUCUGAUUUGGUCUUGUGGUCUCUUUCUGCAGAGUUCCUAUAAACUGUGCCCCACCUAAUGGGCCUCGGGGAUUUGGUGGUGGAUGUGUACAGCACGCCUUUCACAAGAUUCUUCUUUAUCCUGGCAGGUGGCCUCAUGCCUGAGGGUGAGACCCAUGGUCUGGUGUUGCUCUCACAGGAAUCUUGUUCAUACUGGCAGACUCCUUGUGGCUCCCAUCUGACCUGUUUCCAGCUAUUCCCAAUAAGAUAGCCACUCUUUAGGCCAGCCCUGACUAGGAGAGGAGCUAGGUUCUGGUGCAUCUGUCCGGGGAGACAGAGGAGGCAACUGGACAAAGCACAUAGAGUCACAGAAGCAGCAUAUUCCUCACAGAUCCCAGAGAGAAGAAGGCAGAAUACCUCACAUGGCUAGCGGAAUGGAGGGAGCUGCCUGGGGCACACACACACACAACCACUGGGUGGGGAUCGAGAGAGAGGAGGACCUGUAAGCUGAGGCCUUAAGUGGGGUCCAGGGGUCUACCCCAGGCAGGUUUCCCAUAGGGAGUUCUAAUUGAUGGGUUUAGAGCAAGCAGGCACCGGUUCCAUGUAAUCACGCCAUGACUGAGAGGUGGUCAUUGCAGCAUAUCUGUGAGGUCCAUGUGGGGUCAGUGGGGUGAGUCAAGUAGGUUGUAUCCAGCUGUCUCGUAGGGCAGUGGUCACCAGGAGGUGUUUGUAUAAGGCAGAUGUCUGGAUUGAUCACAUUGAGGAACUGGAAGGAGGUGGAGAGCUGGAAACUGUGUUAAGGACUGGCCACAAUGCUGAAUUUCAACGAAAGCACCCAUAAGGAAGCCUGCCUUUUGAUGUGCUCAGCCUGCGAGGGUCGGGAGGAAGAGAGGGGCCUGCCGCCUCGCGCCCUGCCCGCGCGCCCUCUGUGGGUGCCGCUGGUCCCGGUGUGGCCGGCAGGGGGCGCGCGCGCCAUUCCCGGGCUCGCCGGGCGGGGCGGGGGCGCUUCCGAAGCUGAGCCGAGGACGCCGUGUUCCGCCGGUCCGGAGCGCCGCUACUCCGCGACCUGAGCCUGGCUCAGCAGCUCUGCCAGGCGUGCUUCCGCGCAGGGUGGCCGGACGUUCUGGGGAAGUUGCCCCGGGCCCAGCACAACGCCUGCGGGGGAGGGGUGAUGACUCACUCUCUCCUGAAAGAAGACCACACUGCCCCGGAGACACAGGAGGCCUUCUGACCUGGCCCGGUUGCCCUUCCUGGAGAUGCCCCUCCUUCCCCAGAAGGCAGGCUCAGCUCAUGGAUGGUGCAGUCAGUAAGGGGAACUCAGUGCUGCCCAGGUCCCAGUCCACUGUGGACACCUGCAUGAUCUGACACUUCCCCAUGAGGACUUUUGAGAAGCCAGAUGACUUGUUUGAAUUAUCCAGUUCAGCUCCUGAGCCUCCUCUGCAAGAUCCUACCAAGCAAACUUGGGGUGUUUCCCCUGCUCCCCUAUUUCUGGUAUUAACACCUUCCCCAGAACACCAGACUAUUCCUGUUAUGACGAGUAAAGACCUCUUAGUAUUGUAACUUAAGGGGGUCACACCAUGGCAACAUUCUAUUUUUUUCCUUUUUGUGUACUAGCUAGAAUUACUCUAUUUAUUUACUUCAGGCAUUUACUUGUUGUAAUUAUCUGAUUUUGUGUCCCUGAAAUAGUUUUUGCAGAAAAAUCAGGAUAAAUUAUUGAUUCUGCCCCUUUUAUUUUUUAUAGUUUUUAGAAGGGGUUUAUUUUUUAUAAUCCAAAUGUGCCCAAGUAAGGUUUGUUUGUUGAGAAGUGCCUUUCCAAACCCCUCAAUUUUUAUUUUAUUUAUAUUUAUUUAUUUAUUUAUUUAUUCAUUUUGAGACAGAGUCUUGCUCUGUCUCCCAGGUUGGAGUGCAGUGGCACCUUGUAUUAGUCCGUUUUCAUGCUGCUGAUAAAGACAUACCCCAGAAUGGGAAGAAGAAGAGGUUUAGUGGACUUGCAGUUCCACAUGACUGGGGAGGCCUUACAAUCGUGGUGGAGGGCAAGGAAGAGCAAGUCAGGUCUUACACGGAUGGCGGCAGGAAAAGAGAGAGAACUUGUGUAGGGGAACUCCUCUUUAUAAAACCAUCAGAUCUCAUGUGAGACUUAUUCACUAUCAUGAGACCAGCACGAGAAAGACCUGCCCCUGUGAUUCACAGGGACCCACUGGGUCCCUCCCAUGACACAUGGAAUUGUGGGAGUUACAAUUCAAGAUGAGAUUUGGGGGGAAACACAGCCAAACCCUAUCAAGCCAUCUCGGCUCUCUGCAACCUCCACUUCCCAGGCUCAAGUGAUUCUCCUGCCUCAGCCUCCUGAGUAGCUGGGAUUACAGGCAUGCGCCACCACACCUGGAUAAUUUUUGUAUUUUUUAUAGACAUGGGGUUUCAUCAUGUCGGCCAGACUGGUCUUGAACUCCUGACCUCGUGCAAUCCACCUGCCUCAGCCUCCCGAAGUGUUGGGAUUGCAGGAGUGAGCCACUGUGCCUGGCCCUCAAUUUUUAACAUGUAUGUUUCCAUUCAUUGCUGAGCUGUUUAACCUUAUAUAAUGUUAAAGAAAACAGAUGGCAGCUAGGUAACAAGAGCCCUGUCAAUGGGCAUCCCCUUCUCCUAUGUUCCGUUUCUGGGAAUCAACUUAAAGAGACCAUUAAAAACCAGAUUUGCACAAAAUCAAACAAACAUAUUGGUUGAAGCAUUUAAAAGAAUGAAAGUUUGGAAAUAAUCUCAUUAUUCAAUAGUUAUUCAGUAGUUGCUUAAUAAAAUGUGGCAUAUCCAUUUGAUGGAAUAUUAUAUAGCAAUUAAAAUGAUAUUUCUUAAAACUAUGUAUGUCUUCAAGCAUCUUUAUUGAGGUAUACAUACCAUAAAAUUCAUCCAAUUUGAAAUGUACAUUCAGUGACUUUUAGUAAACCAUCACAAUUCAGUUUUAGAACAUUAUCACCACCCCCAAAAUUUCCUCCUACCCAUUUGCAAUCAAUCCCAGCUACCAUUUUUGACUCCAGGCAACUACUGACCUG
RNAcentral lists this long non-coding RNA (5013 nucleotides) under Homo sapiens (human). RNAcentral describes it as "HSALNT0122406". The record is from RNAcentral. Lineage: Eukaryota; Metazoa; Chordata; Mammalia; Primates; Hominidae.